This 218-nucleotide ribosomal RNA is filed under the name uncultured bacterium. RNAcentral describes it as "partial 16S ribosomal RNA". It matches the Rfam family "Bacterial small subunit ribosomal RNA", at positions 328 to 539 of the family's 1533-position model. The record is from RNAcentral.
ACGCUCGACACCUACGGGAGACAGCAGUGAGGAAUAUUGGUCAAUGGGCGCUAGCCUGAACCAGCCAAGUAGCGUGAAGGAUGAAGGCUCUAUGGGUCGUAAACUUCUUUUAUAUAAGAAUAAAGUGCAGUAUGUAUACUGUUUUGUAUGUAUUAUAUGAAUAAGGAUCGGCUAACUCCGUGCCAGCAGCAGCGGUAAUCUGAGCGGGCUGGCAAGGC